GAUGAACGCUGACAGAAUGCUUAACACAUGCAAGUCGAUUCAAAGUUCCUUUCGGGGAACGGAGGAUGGCGGACGGGUGAGUAACGCGUAAGGAACUUGCCUUUUGGCCUGGGACAACUGUUGGAAACGACAGCUAAUACCGGAUAUUAUGAGAUUCUCGCAUGGGAAACUUAUGAAAGCUAUAUGCGCCAAAAGAGAGCCUUGCGUUCCAUUAGCUAGUUGGUGGGGUAACGGCCCACCAAGGCGACGAUGGAUAGCCGGCCUGAGAGGGUGAACGGCCACAAGGGGACUGAGACACGGCCCUUACUCCUACGGGAGGCAGCAGUGGGGAAUAUUGGACAAUGGGCCACAAGCCUGAUCCAGCAAUUCUGUGUGCACGAUGAAGGUUUUCGGAUCGUAAAGUGCUUUCAGUUGGGAAGAAGAAAGUGACGGUACCAACAGAAGAAGCGACGGCUAAAUACGUGCCAGCAGCCGCGGUAAUACGUAUGUCGCAAGCGUUAUCCGGAUUUAUUGGGCGUAAAGCGCGUCUAGGCGGAAAAGAAAGUCUGAUGUUAAAAUGCGGGGCUCAACACCGUAUUGCGUUGGAAACUGCUUUUCUAGAGUACUGGAGAGGUGGGCGGAACUACAAGUGUAGAGGUGAAAUUCGUAGAUAUUUGUAGGAAUGCCGAUGGAGAAGUCAGCUCACUGGACAGAUACUGACGCUAAAGCGCGAAAGCGUGGGGAGCAAACAGG
This 732-nucleotide ribosomal RNA is filed under the name uncultured bacterium. RNAcentral's name for it is "bacterial SSU rRNA". It matches the Rfam family "Bacterial small subunit ribosomal RNA", at positions 28 to 776 of the family's 1533-position model. The record is from RNAcentral.